AGGGUAAAGGCCUACCAAGGCCACGAUCGGUAGCUGGUCUGAGAGGAUGAUCAGCCACACUGGGACUGAGACACGGCCCAGACUCCUACGGGAGGCAGCAGUGGGGAAUAUUGGACAAUGGGCGCAAGCCUGAUCCAGCAAUGCCGCGUGUGUGAAGAAGGCCUGCGGGUUGUAAAGUCCCUUUAGGCGGGGAAGAACGGCCGGGCGCAAAUAGCGCGCGGCUCUGACGUUACCCGCAGAAUAAGCACCGGCUAACUCCGUG
This 262-nucleotide ribosomal RNA is filed under the name uncultured bacterium. Its description in RNAcentral is "partial 16S ribosomal RNA". It matches the Rfam family "Bacterial small subunit ribosomal RNA", at positions 254 to 507 of the family's 1533-position model. The record is from RNAcentral.